RNAcentral lists this long non-coding RNA (4919 nucleotides) under Malus domestica (apple). RNAcentral's name for it is "long non-coding RNA (MDOM_LNC006878)". Lineage: Eukaryota; Viridiplantae; Streptophyta; Magnoliopsida; Rosales; Rosaceae. The record is from RNAcentral.
GUGAAGCUUAACAUUUGGAGAGAAGUGUUGGAAUCUAAAGGUCUUCGCUUAAGCCGAUCAAAGACAAAAUAUAUGGAGUGCAAGUUCAGUGCAAAUGGAGGCCAAAAUGAGUUAGGGGUGAGGAUUGGAGAUCAGGAAAUACCAAAGAGCGACCGUUUUCGCUACCUAGGAUCUAUCUUGCAAAAGAACGGAGAAUUAUAUGGAGAUCUCAACCAUAGAAUACAAGCUGGAUGGAUGAAGUGGAAGAGUGCAUCCGGCGUGUUGUGUGACCGUUGUAUGCCACUAAAGCUCAAGAGUAAAUUUUAUAGGACAGCAAUAAGGCCGGCGAUGCUGUAUGGCACAGAAUGUUGGGCGGUGAAGCAUCAACACGUACACAAAAUGGGUGUAGCGGAGACGAUGAUGCUUCGUUGGAUGUGUGGGCACACGAGAAAAGAUAAGAUUAGGAAUGAGGAUAUCCGAGGUAAAGUAGGAGUAGCUGAAAUUGUAGGAAAGCUGAGAGAAAAUCGGUUACGGUGGUUUGGACAUGUGCAAAGAAGGCCUAUUGACACUCCGGUUAGAAGAUGCGACUACGGGACAGAGAUUCAGGGCCGAAGGGGUAGAGGAAGACCUAGGAAAACAAUGGCGUUCUAAGAUUCAUAUAGCCGACCCCACUCAGUGACUUGGAUUUUUCAAGUCUCUAACCGAGAAGUUUUCCUCACUCAGGAAAUUAAGAGAACACUAUAUAUGUCGACCUCCAUCCUCAACGGACAAGCAGACCUGCAAAAAUGCUCAACCCUUCCUCAUAUCUGAGAGGACACUCCCAACGAAGCCUCUCGAAAUACUCAGCUUUCUUUCCCCCCCCCCCCGAUAAUAACGUUGCAAACAAGCUACACCAGAGCAAGAAUAUCUCAUAUCAUCAGGGUUAAAAGCAAGAGUAUCCUAUAUCAUGCUUUUUCCCUAUUUUUUCUUUUGGCCUUGUUCUUACCUGCAAGACAAGGAGAAAGAGAGCAAUCAGUUAGCACUUGGAAUCAAGCUUCCAGUCAGGAACUGACUGCCUGGAACCCUUUACCUGAUUACUUACCUGGCAUUGCUCUCGAGUACUCAUCUUCAACAUCUUAUGCUUCCAGAGAAGAUACCACAUCUGCCUGAAGAACAGAUAGGGCAAGUGAGAAUGAUACAAGGAAGCAUGUGGAGACAAGCGUAACAGAACACGUGCCGAUACAUCCACUACUUUGUCAACAACAAAAGUAUCCUAUAUCAGCAGGGUCGAAUGUACUUUAGAUUUGAUGGACUUGUUUUAACCCUCAAAUUCUUCAGUCGGCCUUAUACUUUGGAGGAAACCAGAAAACCCUCAAGCCCAGUUUAAGAAUAAGCCUGUGGAAAGUUACUUCUUCAAAAGCAAAAGUAUCUCAUAUCAUAUAUUCUUCUUUUUCUUCUCUUUAUCCUUCAUGCUGCCUGCAAGAUAGGGAGAAUGAGAACAAUCAGCCGGAACUCGAAAUCAAACUUCUGAUCUGGGACUGAUUGCUUGGAGCUUUGAUUGCUUACCUUGUCUGUCACCUCUUUCAGCAGAUCCCCUAGCUCGGCGACUUGGGGGACUCCUACUACAUGGUUUGUAUCGUGCUUGACCAAGCCUGAAACUACAAGUAAGCUUCAAGUGAAAUUGAUACAUUACCUUGUGCAUCUCCACCAGUUAAAGAUACCACCUCUGGAUAGAGGAAGAGUACUUCCAGAGAAGAUGCCACAUCUACCUAUGAGACAGAUAAGGCAAGUGAAGACGAUACCACACUUCGGUACUUAGAAGUUUCGUGAUUACGAGACAUUCUCCCACAAUAUUUCCUAAUGUCAUUUGUACUAAAUCAUUCACUUGUACUCACUAAAGGAGAGCUUGAACCUAUGUACUUGUGUAAACCCUUCACAAUUAAUGAGAACUCCUCUACUCCGUGGACGUAGCCAAUCUGGGUGAACCACGUACAUCUUGUGUUUGCUUUUCUGUCUCUAUCCAUUUACAUACUUAUCCACACUAAUGACCGGAGCAAUCUAGCGAAGAUCACAAACUUAAUACUUUCUGUUGUACCAAAGUCCUCAUUGAUUUUGUGCAUCAACAAUCCUUAAGUCCUUACCUUUUUGCAUUGGUAAUGGAUGAGUUAACAGGACAUAUUCAAGAUGAUAUUCCUUGGUGUAUGCUUUUCGCAAACGAUAUAGUGUUGAUAGAUGAAACUUAGGAAGGGGUAAAUGCGAAGCUUAACCUUUGGAGAAAAGUGUUAGAAUCUAAAGGUCUUCGCCUAAGCCGAUCAAGGACAGAAUAUAUAGAGUGCAAGUUCAGUGCAGACGGAGGCCAAAUGAGUUAAGGGUGAGGAUCGGAGAUCAGGAAAUACCAAAGAGCGACCGUUUUCACUACCUAGGAUCUAUCUUGCAAAAGAACGGAGAAUUAGAUGGAGAUCUCAACCAUAGAAUACAAGCUGGAUGGAUGAAGUGGAAGAGUGCAUUCGACGUGUUGUGUGACCAUCAUAGACCACUGAAGCUCAAGGGAAAAUUUUAUAGGACGGCAAUAAGGCUGACGAUGCUGUAUGGCACAAAAUGUUGGGCGGUGAAGCAUCAACACGUACACAAAAUGGGUGUAGCGGAGAUGAGGAUGCUUCAUUGGAUGUGUGGGCACACGAGAAAGGAUAAGAUUAGGAAUGAGGAUAUCCGAGGUAAAUAGGAGUAGCCGAAAUUGAAGGAAAGAUGAGAGAAAAUCGGUUACGGUGGUUUGGACAUGUGCAAAGAAGGCCUACUGACGCUCCGGUUCGAAGAUGUGACUACGGAACAGAGGUUCAGGGCCGAAGGGGUAGAGGAAGACCUAGGAAAACUUUGGAAGAGACCCUAAGAAAAGACUUAGAGUACUUGGAUCUAACGGAGGACAUAACACAAAACCGAGCGCAAUGGCGUUCUAGGAUUCAUAUAGCCGACCCCACUUAGUGGGAAAAGGCUUUGUUGUUGUUGUUGUUGUUGUUGUUGUUGUUGUUUUCUGUUUCUGGACUCAAGUGAAAUUAAAUUGUGAGUACAUAUGAAAAUGCCACAUUACAGAUUUUCUCAACACUCCCUGCCAUCAUCUUAUCAUGUAUAUUCUACUCACAUAAUCUAACCCUAAUUUUUGUCGUCUACACAAUCUGUUUUAUCACCAUCAUCAUCUUUGUGUUUUUACAGAAAAUCAAUAGACAAAAAUUACUAAAAAUAUAUGAGAAGUAAAAAAAAUGUUCGUGAAUAGCACUACCUUUUCUUUUCUCUUCUUUUCAUUUCCUCCUGACCACUACUGCUGGUCUAUAAGGCAAGACUAGAGACCACUUGUUGUCCAUCAGAUAGCAGGAAAAAAAGAAGGGACAAACUUUGGACCAAGUGGUGGCAAAGAUAAGGGGUUAGUUGGGGCCAUUACUUGUCUAGGGUUAGCCAUGCAAAACCAAAACUAGGGUUGCCAUCAAGUCAUUGCAUGUUUCUAAAUCCUCUCGAUCCAUCGAGAUGGUGCAUGCAGCUAUCCGUUUUCUAUUUCUUCAACAUUGAUGGAGUGCUAAUUAAACCAACCAUCAUGCCUUGUUGGUUGGCCAGGGCUCUCACCGCCACUGACCUUCCGUUCAUCGAUUGGCCGAGUUUCCUCCCCUUCAUACCCUAUAUAUCAUGGACUACAUUAAGGUGGCCAUGUCCCACUUGUGUUGUUCAUUCCUUUAUUUAGUGAUGUUACUUUGAGACUAGUUGCCUAAUUAUUCCACUAUCCAAACUAGCUUAUUUAUAUUAUCCAUAUUAUUAAGUAAUUUUGUCAACUAUCAUUUGGGAAAUGCUAAUUGCAUCUCCCUAACUACUUCGUGAAACAAAAAAUAUUUAUGAACAAAUAUAUCAUGAAAGAAAGAGUAUUUAUAAACUAGUAAUAAAGUUAAUUGGAGUAAUGGUUCUUGAACUGUAGUCUAAUUGGGGGUUUGGUUAUGUACUAAAAAUUUGUGAGUAUUGGACACUGAACUUAUUUUAACGUACAACAAUGGUCAUUUUGGGUAACUUUGUUAAUUCCUUUAGAAUGUAUGUUCAUAUUUUCCCCAUUACACCUUUUUUUGGAUGAAAUUUUCAACGGUGUUACUCAAAUUGAAUGUUACUCCAUAUUGAGACAAAUUCAAAUACCAACAUUUAUGAUUUUUAGUUCAAUGACUAAAGUUCCAAUUGGCCAAGGACGUUUGAGUGAGUUAUUUUGACUGCCAUGCUUUCUUUCCUUUAAAUGACAAUUAGAUUAGAGCCUUAAAGUCUUAAUUUAAUAAGAGGAGUCUUAAUUCAAUAUUUAAUAAUAUUAAUUUAAUAAAACUUAUUAAAUUUUUUUUAUGUGUGGUGAUCAAGUAGUUAUUUAAUUUAUAGGAAUGAAGAAUGAAUUUUGACUUUGGUAACAUAAGAUUUAAUUGUAGAAAAACCCUAAAACUUACUAAUUUUUUUUAGGGUGCUUUAGAUUUUGGCCCUUACAACUCAUUAUUUUUAGAUAAAAACUCAUCUAUCUUUAAAGAUCCAGUUUAAGCUCAAAUUUAAAAAUUGCAAAUAUAUGGGAACACUAUUGACCUAUUAAUACAAUUUAUUUACACUCAUGCCACUCAUACUUUAUGGUCCCUUUUCCAAAUUCCUAAAUUUAUGCCAAAUUAAAAGUAGUAGAAAAAGUGAAAUAAAAUGUAAAAAGUGUUUGCAUUAACCAUAUCCAUGUCAAACUAGAAAAGUAGUUUUUUUUUUUCGUGAUAUAUUUUGUAGCAAUUUUACCCAUAUUAAUUGGUAGAUAAAUUAGUUUGUUCCAAUUAUUUAAAAAAAAAAUACUACACCUAUAUUAUAUAUUUUGAAUCAAAUAACAUUCCUCUAACUUUUAGGUAAAUUGUUUUCUAUGUAUUGUUAUAUAUGUUAGACACAUUUUGUUGUUGUAUAAACAUGAGUGGAACAUAAUAUUG